This 371-nucleotide ribosomal RNA is filed under the name uncultured organism. Its description in RNAcentral is "bacterial SSU rRNA". It matches the Rfam family "Bacterial small subunit ribosomal RNA", at positions 526 to 896 of the family's 1533-position model. The record is from RNAcentral.
CAGAGGGUGCAAGCGUUAAUCGGAAUUACUGGGCGUAAAGGGCGCGUAGGUGGUUAUGUAAGUGAGAUGUGAAAUCCCUGGGCUUAACCUAGGAACUGCAUCUUAUACUGUAUGACUAGAGUACUGUAGAGGGUAGUGGAAUUUCCGGUGUAGCGGUGAAAUGCGUAGAGAUCGGAAGGAACACCAGUGGCGAAGGCGGCUACCUGGACAGAUACUGACACUGAGGCGCGAGAGCGUGGGGAGCAAACAGGAUUAGAUACCCUGGUAGUCCACGCUGUAAACGAUGAGAACUAGAUGUUGGUAGGCUUGACCUAUUAGUAUCGAAGCUAACGCGAUAAGUUCUCCGCCUGGGGAGUACGACCGCAAGGUUA